Molecule: transfer RNA, 76 nt
Filed under: Vibrio parahaemolyticus
Lineage: Bacteria; Pseudomonadati; Pseudomonadota; Gammaproteobacteria; Vibrionales; Vibrionaceae
Description: tRNA-Leu
Source: RNAcentral
AGUGCAAAAAACUGGUACAAAGCUAAAGAAACUUGGUGGCUUGCAAUCGAGAGUUCGAAUCUCUCACUCACCGCCA